Long non-coding RNA from Quercus robur (English oak), 609 nucleotides. RefSeq lists it as uncharacterized. Lineage: Eukaryota; Viridiplantae; Streptophyta; Magnoliopsida; Fagales; Fagaceae. The transcript is spliced from 2 exons. The record is from RefSeq and is a predicted model, not a curated record.
GCUCACUUUGCUCUCUUUUUCUCUCAAUGAAAGAGCUAGGAAGCUCUCUUAGGUACAAUUUGUCAAGCCCAUGGGUCCACAAAUUAAAAGAGAGAUAAGGCUUCAUCAUCUUUUCUUCUUUCUACUCUUUUAGAAGCAACUAGAAUAGUUAAGAGCUCUCUCCCUCUUUCAUUCCUACGGGUCCAACACCAAAAGAAGGAAAAGCUCUCAAUUAUUUUCUCCCUUUCACAGCUACAUGUCCAGUAGCAAGAAGGAAGCUUUUUUCAACUCUCUCAAGCUCUCUACCUCUCAUACUUUCUGGUCCAGCCACUAGGAAAGGGAAAUCAUUUCAUUUAGCAGGUUUUAUUUUGGAGCAGAGGGAGCCUUAAUCGAGUUUGGAAGGAGCUGGUUUUAGUUUUAUAUGUAUAGAUCCUAAAUUGGCAAUAUGAUAUUUAGAUUUGUAGCAUUGUGUAUUUUAAGAUCUAAUGAAAGUGUAUACCUUAAAGUAUUAAAAAAUGUAUUAUGUGAAAUUCUGAAGUUGAGUAACUGGUGGAUUAUGUCAAUCUUUGAGUACAAUGUAGAUGCUCUGAAUAUCAAGUGAAAAGUUAUAUCAUUUAAGUAAGGAAACAA